UACGUAGGGUGCAAGCGUUGUCCGGAAUUAUUGGGCGUAAAGAGCUCGUAGGCGGUUUGUCGCGUCGAAUGUGAAAACCCGGGGCUCAACCCCGGGCCUGCAUUCGAUACGGGCAGACUAGAGUUCGGUAGGGGAGUCUGGAAUUCCUGGUGUAGCGGUGAAAUGCGCAGGUAUCAGGAGGAACACCGGUGGCGAAGGCGGGACUCUGGGCCGAUACUGACGCUGAGGAGCGAAAGCGUGGGGAGCGAACAGG
RNAcentral lists this ribosomal RNA (253 nucleotides) under uncultured bacterium. RNAcentral's name for it is "partial 16S ribosomal RNA". It matches the Rfam family "Bacterial small subunit ribosomal RNA", at positions 524 to 776 of the family's 1533-position model. The record is from RNAcentral.